Molecule: ribosomal RNA, 253 nt
Filed under: uncultured bacterium
Lineage: Bacteria
Description: partial 16S ribosomal RNA
Rfam family: Bacterial small subunit ribosomal RNA
Source: RNAcentral
UACAGGGGGUGCAAACGUUGCUCGGAAUUAUUGGGCGUAAAGAGCUCGUAGGCGGUCUGUUGCGUCGGCUGUGAAAACCCGGGGCUCAACUCCGGGCCUGCAGUCGAUACGGGCAGACUAGAGUUCGGUAGGGGAGACUGGAAUUCCUGGUGUAGCGGUGAAAUGCGCAGAUAUCAGGAGGAACACCGGUGGCGAAGGCGGGUCUCUGGGCCGAAACUGACACUGAGGAGCGAAAGCGUGGGGAGCGAACAGG